GUUUCUAAUAUAAUCCCCCCCCCCCCCCCUCUCUCUCUCACUCACUCACACACACACAAAGCAAUUUCAAUAUUGAAAGAAUACGUGCUUCGAGAAAGCAGCUGGAGCUAGUUAUGGUAUGAGAAGGUGGGAGAUGAGCAAGAUGGAGAAGCAGGGCACGUGCAUUACUACUUCAUGCACACAGAAACGAGGAGCUGAUCUCCUUCAGUAAUUGCACCUCUCGCCUUAAAGGCCUGUGUUUGCACAAUGAGUUAGUUCUUCAUGUGCCCCUCUUCCCCAUCAUGACCACUCAACCUUAUAUUCACAAUUAAAUUGCUGUGAAAGAAGUCCAGCUCUGGUGGUCCUCGCUGUUAAAUUGAGUACAAUCCAUCAUUCUCUGUGCAUAGACAAUGUCAACAAAAAGAUAUACUGUUUUCUCAAGGGUUCUGAAGCUGUAAAAAACAAGAAAGGGUACCAUUGUCGACAUAUCGGUACCGGCUAUCUGGCUAUCAUGUUUGGAUCUGUAUUACACAUUGUAUGCUGACUUAACACACCCAACAGAAGAGCUUCUCUUGUGUUAUUUCUUUGUAAAUACAAUUACCUGGAUCUUAAGUAAUUACUAUAGUAGAUGCUGGUACAGUGUGUUCGGAUUGGGAAGCUAACUCAAACAAUAAGCACUAGCGUUUACUUAAAAGGACGUAAAGUAGAUAGUUUGGAAUAACUUUAAUUCAUAGAGUAGCCAGUCUAGAAGAUAAACUCAAAACUUUACUAGAUCCAAUUUUUAACAUCAUGUCCAACAGUUUGUACAUGAAGCAUGGUAUAGAGUUCACUGUUUGUUGUCCUUGGGAGCCGCCUUGCUAUGCAGGAAUAUUAUUGUGCGAAAGAAAGAAGAAACGGAGGACAUGAUAUGAAAGUUGACUUGUGCUGAAAUUGUACAAGAUUGACACUUUUAGGAGUUACGUGGAUAGGAAACAUAUUUCAGUCUAUUACAAAGACCUAUGUCCAGAUAUGGACAUUUUGUAUUCAUACUGAUAUUAUUACAAAGCUGCUAUUGGUUGCUAUUUUCUAAA
Daucus carota subsp. sativus is the source of this 1049-nucleotide long non-coding RNA. RefSeq lists it as uncharacterized. NCBI's taxonomy places the organism in Eukaryota, Viridiplantae, Streptophyta, Magnoliopsida, Apiales, Apiaceae. The record is from RefSeq and is a predicted model, not a curated record. The transcript has 2 exons.